Molecule: long non-coding RNA, 867 nt
Organism: Perca flavescens (yellow perch)
Lineage: Eukaryota; Metazoa; Chordata; Actinopteri; Perciformes; Percidae
Exons: 2
Source: RefSeq, a predicted model, not a curated record
CCAUGCAAGACACUGGCCUGACCAUUGGGAGCAAUACAGGGUUCAGUGUCUUACCCAAGAGUACUUGUUCUUUCAUUUUUAAACUAAGCUGUAGAUGCCUAUACAGGAGGUAAGUUAACAAUGACAGCAUUAACUUGCAAAAAAUAAUAAUUACUAACAUUAAGAAAAGUCCCCAGCUAAUUAUCUUCUUUUCAUAUUCUAUUAGACUCAACAUUCAGGAUUUCCUUGACGACAGAGAAGCCGUGUUUACUCCGGACCAGAUGAGAAGGAUGGAUGACCACAGGACCAGCAGGAGAGCGGCGGCCGCCUUUCUUUCAGUCGGCUAAGACAGGACUCCUCUGUGUUUUUGGCACACCCCGGGCAGCUGAGAGUAGACGUCUACCAACCAAUCAUCCCAGGCAGACCCAGCCCGGGGGCCACAGCAGACCACUGACCCAACUCUCAGUACUCUACCUGCUUCCAGGGACCAAGCCCUGUCUGAAGACCCAGUGAGGACAGUUCCACCCCGACCCCCGCCAACACCACCUUCACCUGCCAAGAGGAUGAGGACCGCCCCAGCCCGACUAGCACAGAGGACGUUGUUACCGUCUGCUUCUUCUUCUUCUGUGCUGGUGGGUCUGGGAUGCUCCUCACACACACAGGAAGCUGUCACCACAGACACUUGAGACUGAAUGAAAAAGAUUCUAAAAGUAAUUAGUUCGUACAAUAUGUAAACUGUUUAUCUCUGAAUAGUGCAAUGCAAUACUGUAAGUGUAAGACAAGCCUUCUAAAUAUUUCUUAUUAUGUAUACACAAUAUCAUAUACUUCCAUGUAUCAUUCAGAAAUAUGAUUGUGUGACUCUGAAAUAAAAUAUUGUGCAAAUGAUGA